CGAACGGGUGAGUAACACGUGAGCAACCUGCCCCGAAGACUGGAAUAACACCGGGAAACCGGUGCUAAUACUGGAUACCCCCACCAGGCCGCAUGACCAGGUGAGGAAAUGAAUUUCGCUUUGGGAGGGGCUCGCGGGCUAUCAGCUUGUUGGUGGGGUAACGGCCUACCAAGGCGACGACGGCUAGCUGGUCUGAGAGGACGACCAGCCACACUGGGACUGAGACACGGCCCAG
RNAcentral lists this ribosomal RNA (235 nucleotides) under uncultured bacterium. RNAcentral's name for it is "partial 16S ribosomal RNA". It matches the Rfam family "Bacterial small subunit ribosomal RNA", at positions 99 to 334 of the family's 1533-position model. The record is from RNAcentral.